UACGUAGGGACCGAGCGUUGUCCGGAAUCCUUGGGCGUAAAGAGCGUGUAGGCGGCUAUUUAAGUCCUGCGUGAAAUCCUGCGGCUCAACCGCAGACGGUCGUGGGAAACUGGAUGGCUAGAGUGCGGGAGAGGAGAGUGGAAUUCCCGGUGUAGCGGUGAAAUGCGCAGAUAUCGGGAAGAACACCCGUGGCGAAGGCGGCUCUCUGGAACGCAACUGACGCUGAGACGCGAAAGCGUGGGGAGCAAACAGG
Molecule: ribosomal RNA, 253 nt
Filed under: uncultured bacterium
Lineage: Bacteria
Description: partial 16S ribosomal RNA
Rfam family: Bacterial small subunit ribosomal RNA
Source: RNAcentral